Molecule: long non-coding RNA, 304 nt
Filed under: Callithrix jacchus (white-tufted-ear marmoset)
Lineage: Eukaryota; Metazoa; Chordata; Mammalia; Primates; Cebidae
Description: lncRNA (ENSCJAG00000084714.1)
Source: RNAcentral
CAAAAUAUGAAAACAAGUGCUGAAAAGGAUAACAAAAGGUAAAACAUAAAGAGAGAAGUCCUACCAAGUUCUUAAGAAAUGAUGAUACCAGUUACCCAGGAAGGUGAGGGUAUAAAGCAGAUGUGUUGAAACAGCUGACCAUGUCUUCUUCCUUCCUGGCUUCAGUCAAGAGUUAAUUCUUCCAAGAAAUGAACCAGGGAGGUUCCAAACAUGGAAAUACCAGACAAGGAAAUUUCUCUAAGAUAUAUGGAACCUGGAAGAUAAAGCCACUGACUUCCUGAAAACCCAGAAGCUCCGCUUGCAG